Molecule: transfer RNA, 71 nt
Filed under: Cavenderia fasciculata
Lineage: Eukaryota; Evosea; Eumycetozoa; Acytosteliales; Cavenderiaceae
Description: tRNA-Cys
Rfam family: tRNA
About the family: Transfer RNA (tRNA) molecules are approximately 80 nucleotides in length. Their secondary structure includes four short double-helical elements and three loops (D, anti-codon, and T loops). Further hydrogen bonds mediate the characteristic L-shaped molecular structure. tRNAs have two regions of fundamental functional importance: the anti-codon, which is responsible for specific mRNA codon recognition, and the 3' end, to which the tRNAs corresponding amino acid is attached (by aminoacyl-tRNA synthetases). tRNAs cope with the degeneracy of the genetic code in two manners: having more than one tRNA (with a specific anti-codon) for a particular amino acid; and 'wobble' base-pairing, i.e. permitting non-standard base-pairing at the 3rd anti-codon position.
Source: RNAcentral
AGAAAUCGUAUAAUUGGUAAUACAAAGGUCUGCAAAACCUUUAAUAACAGUUCAAGUCUGUUUUUCGACUA